UGCAGAACUGCCAUGUUGAGCGGAGGAGGGGAGCAAGGAGAGCAGCUGUCCUGAUGGCCAGGUGUGGCCGUGCCACACACAGCUCUGACCACGAGGCUUGUCUUAAGUACCAGCUACAAGACUACACGUGCAGAAGGACAGGAGGGCUGGUUCUCUGUUCCCUCAAGAAGCUCCAGGCCUCUGAAUGAAACAGAUCACACCUAGCGAUCCUCAGCCCGCAUUCUCCAGAUGAGGUGGGCAACUUGCAGGGGAGUUUCCCAUUGCCUUUGCUUCUCCUGUUUCACGUGCAUGAAGUGGCAGCAGAGAGAGACAGAGAGACGGAGAGAGCCUUCUUUCCAUACCUGCCCACCCUCCGAGGCCUCCAGAGGCAGCUCCUCAGCAGGUGUUCCCUGACACUCACGCAGCCAGUAGGAAUGACCUCUCCCUCUGACAGCCCACUCUCUGACCUCUACCACGUGACCUCUCACCUGCACUGAUUUACAAACUGUGCGACAGAAUCCCUCACAUAAGUUGAAAGGAUGAUAAGCCAAUUUAAAUCACAGCCUUCUACUAAGAGAAUAGUUUUGCAGCUCCUGGACCUGAGGGCUGGACCUCUGCCGUCACACACUCCUGAACCUCUGCUGUCGUGCAGUCCCUGGAUUUCCAAUGUUAACACAUUUGCUGAGCAAACGUUUAUUGAGCUGCAGCGAUACUGCAGGCGCCCGGGUGGUGAACCAGGAGGAAAAGAUAAACCGCGUGUGAGCCUUCCUCUGGAGAAGACAGAUAGCCCAAUAACAACAGCAGCAACGAGAAAACCCACAGGAGAUUCUCAGAACUGGGAGAGUGAGUAGCCACGAAAAUAUAAGCUGCCUGUGGCCUCCCUGAACAUCAGGAAAAGGGAAUGGAAACGGCAGUGGGACAGCGUUUCAUAUCCAUCCACUUGGCCAGUGUUAGAAGGCGCGACGGUCCUGAAAGCUGACCGCAGAGUGGAGAAAGGGGCAACCUCAGACAGUGGCAGUGCAUGGUGGAACUCCCAGCAGGAGCCGCCUGCAUCGUGCCGGAGGCUCUGCUCCUGUGUUUGAGCCACGCUCCUGCACACGUCAGCCCAAGGAGAUGCAUCCAGGACUGCAGCUCUGCUCAUGGGAAACCUGGGCCCAGCCUCCAGAGAAACCCUUCCCCUCUGGGGCGCACUUGUACGGAAGGAAUGAAACGCAGCAUGAUGUGCUGUAACAGAGAGAUACCGUGAAUCUUAUGGGAGACAGAGCACAGCUGAUAACUGGGUGAGGAAGAGCAGAGGGUGUUUCGAGGAGAAAAGGAAAGAAGAGUGUCCCAGCAUGGCCAGCCUAUGGUGGAGGAAAGAGCACGUGUGGAUGGGCGUCCUGGGAGGCUGAGGUACUGGGAUAUGCGGGGGGUUGGGGAGGUCAGAUAAGGGGUCAUGUUAGGAGCACAUGGAAGCUUGAGCUCCCCCGGAAGAGUUCCAGCCUUCCCUGUAGCUUCCAUACGUACAAUCCCCAGACCGUCGUUUAAGAGAAACAGCGCUGGGGGUGGUGUGGAUGGAGCAAGCCCAGCUGGUGGAUGUGGGCCCUGGUCCCAGACCGGUGGAAGUGAGAAUGGAGGGCAGAAACAACCGGGUUUUUUGGAAGAGUAGUUGGCAGCACUUGGACCUCUUUCUGCGGUAAGCGAACUGUCUGCGAUGACUGCCCUGGUGUCUCUAAAGAAAAUCACAAACGUGGAGGGUUACGCCAGAUUUGAAGACUCCAGAAAGACAAAACCAGCAACGCACGAAUGUUGAUUAGAUGCUGCUUCAGGGGGGAAAAAAGAAAACUGUAAUAGACGUUCUGGAGCUAUUUGGGGAAAUUUGAAUAUGGCAGAAUAGUAGAUAAUAUUAGGAAAUUACUGUGUAUUUUUUAUGUAUGAUAAUGUCAUUUUGGUUAGGUAAAAGAAUGCCUUUAUCCUCAGGAGAUGUGUGUUGAAAUAGUUAGGUUAUGAGCUGUGUAGUUUAAAGUUUCAAGUGGUUCAGAAAAAAGAGAA
Physeter macrocephalus (sperm whale) is the source of this 2010-nucleotide long non-coding RNA. RefSeq lists it as uncharacterized. The record is from RefSeq and is a predicted model, not a curated record. The transcript has 3 exons. NCBI's taxonomy places the organism in Eukaryota, Metazoa, Chordata, Mammalia, Artiodactyla, Physeteridae.